GAGCCACCUUGCGGGGCCGGCUGGGCCGAGCCACCUUGCGGGGCCGGCUGGGCUGAGCCACUAUGCAAUUUUAUACAGUACCAGUCAAAAGUUUGGACACCUACUCAAAGGGUUUUUCUUUAUUUUUACUAUUUUCUACAUUGUAGAAUAAUAGAAUACAUCAAAACUGUGUGUGUGUGUGGAGUCGUAUAGUAAUCAAAAAUAUGUUAAACAAAUGAAAAUAUGUUUUUAAGAUUCUUCAAAGUAGCCACCUUUGCUUUGAUGACAGCUUUGCAUUCUUGCAACUGACUUCAUGAGGUAGUCACCUGAAAUGCUUUUCCAACAGUCUUGAAGGAGUUCCCACAUAUGCUGAGCAUUUGUUGGUUGCUUUUCCUUCACUCUGCAGUCCAACUCAUCCUAAACCAUCUCAAUUGGGUUGAGGUCAGGUGAUCUGGGUCAUUGUCCUGUUAAAAACAAAUGAUAGUCCCACUAAGCCAAACCAGAUGGGACGUUGUAUCGCUGCAGAAUGCUGUGGUAGCCAUGCUGGUUAAGUGUGCCUUUCAUUCAAAUAAAUCACAGUGUCACCAGCAAAGCACCUCCACACCAUCACACCAUAACACCUCCUCCAUGCUUCACGGUGGGAACUAGACAUGUGGAGAUCAUCCGUUCACCUACUCUGCAUCUCACAAAGACAUGGCGGUUGGAACCAAAAAUAAAAAAUAUGGACCCAUCAGACCAAAGGACAGAUUUCCACUGGUCUAAUGUCCAUUGCUCGUGUUUCUUGGCCCAAGCAAGUCUCUUCUUCUUAUUGGUGUCCUUUAGUAGUGGUUUCUUUGCAGCAAUUCAACCAUGACGGUCUGAUUCACGCAGUCUCCUCUGAACAGUUGAUGUUGAGAUGUCUGUUACUUGAACUCUGAAGCAUUUAUUUGAGCUGCAAUUUCUGAGGCUGAACUUAACCUCAGUAGUAAAGGUAACUCUGGGUCUUCCUUUCCUGUGGCGGUCCUCAUGAGAGACAGUUUCAUCAUAGUGCUUGAUGGUUUUUGCGACUGCACUUGAAGUUCAAAGUUCUUAAUUUUCCAGAUUGACUGACCUUCAUGUCUUAAAGUCAAGAUGGACUGUCGUUUCUCUUUGCUAAUUUGAGCUGUUCUUGCCAUAACAUGGACUUAGCCCUAUUUGGUAAAAUACCAUCUUCUGUAUACCACCACUACCAUGUCACAACACAACUGAUUGGCUCAAACACAUUAAGUGGGAAAGAAAUUCCAUAAAUGAACGUUUAACAAUGCACACCUGUUAAUUGAAAUGCAUUCCAGGUGACUAACACAUGAAGCUGGUUGAGAGAAUACCAAGAGUGUGCAAAGCUGUUAUCAAGGAAAAGGUUGUCUUGAAGAAUCUCGUAAAAUAUUUUGAUUUGUUUAACACUUUUGGUUACAUGAUUUCAUAGUGAAGACAUCAAAACUAUUCUACAAUAUAGAAAAUAGUAAAAAUAAAGAAAAACCCUGGAAUGAGUAAGUGUCCAAGCUUUUGACAGGUAGUUUGUGUAUGUAUGUGAGAAACUUUAUUUGUUAUCAUUUAUGGCAAUGUUUUGCUCUAGAUUGCAGGAAAUGGCAGUUACAGGUGUUAAAAAAUACAACUAUCCCGGAGUCCAAAACCCUGGUGGAGAACCCUGAAAUAAGGUUUUGUGUUAUUGAUUUUUAUAAUAUAUACGAUUGGUAGGUCGUAAUAUGGAAGGUAAUAUGUUGCUAGAUUGUGUAAUGAACACGAUGGGAGACAGAGCUGGUUUAAAGAGCAGGGCGCAGGUGUUUAUUGGAGGAGGCAGGUAGCUGGGUCCAGGGGCAGGCAGAAGGUCAUACACAGGAGGAGGCAGGUAGCUGGGUCCAGGGGCAGGCAGAAGGUCAUACACAGGAGGAGGCAGGUAGCUGGGUCCAGGGGCAGGCAGAAGGUCAUACACAGGAGGAGGCAGGUAGCUGGGUCCAGGGGCAGGCAGAAGGUCAUACACAGG
Oncorhynchus tshawytscha (Chinook salmon) is the source of this 1978-nucleotide long non-coding RNA. Lineage: Eukaryota; Metazoa; Chordata; Actinopteri; Salmoniformes; Salmonidae. The record is from Ensembl.